GCUAACUCCGUGCCAGCAGCCGCGGUAAUACGGAGGGUGCAAGCGUUAUCCGGAUUCACUGGGUUUAAAGGGUGCGUAGGCGGGCAGGUAAGUCAGUGGUGAAAUCCUAGAGCUUAACUCUAGAACUGCCAUUGAUACUAUCUGUCUUGAAUAUUGUGGAGGUAAGCGGAAUAUGUCAUGUAGCGGUGAAAUGCUUAGAUAUGACAUAGAACACCUAUUGCGAAGGCAGCUUACUACGCAUAUAUUGACGCUGAGGCACGAAAGCGUGGGGAUCAAACAGGAUUAGAUACCCUAGUAGUC
RNAcentral lists this ribosomal RNA (300 nucleotides) under uncultured Sediminibacterium sp. RNAcentral's name for it is "bacterial SSU rRNA". It matches the Rfam family "Bacterial small subunit ribosomal RNA", at positions 496 to 795 of the family's 1533-position model. The record is from RNAcentral. Lineage: Bacteria; Pseudomonadati; Bacteroidota; Chitinophagia; Chitinophagales; Chitinophagaceae.